This 359-nucleotide ribosomal RNA is filed under the name uncultured bacterium. Its description in RNAcentral is "bacterial SSU rRNA". It matches the Rfam family "Bacterial small subunit ribosomal RNA", at positions 43 to 388 of the family's 1533-position model. The record is from RNAcentral.
GAAUUCACUAGUGAUUCAGGCCUAACACAUGCAAGUCGAGCGGUAGAGAGAAGAUUACUUCUCUUGAGAACGGCGGACGGGUGAGUAAUGCCUAGGAAUCUGCCUGGUAGUGGGGGAUAACGUUCGGAAACGGACGCUAAUACCGCAUACGUCCUACGGGAGAAAGCAGGGGACCUUCGGGCCUUGCGCUAUCAGAUGAGCCUAGGUCGGAUUAGCUAGUUGGUGAGGUAAUGGCUCACCAAGGCUACGAUCCGUAACUGGUCUGAGAGGAUGAUCAGUCACACUGGAACUGAGACACGGUCCAGAUCACUACGGGAGGCAGCAGUGGGGAAUAUUGGACAAUGGGCGAAAGCCUGAUC